GAUGAAAUAGAUGGAGAAAGAAAGAGAUGGAGGGAGACGGCGUGAAGGACAAGGAGGCUGACCACCAUCGUUAGAGGGAGGCUUGGCGUUGGCAUCAUCACAUUCAGAUGAAAUAGAUGGAGAAAGAAAGAGAUGGAGGGAGACGGCGUGAAGGACAAGGAGGCUGACCACCAUCGUUAGAGGGAGGCUUGGCGUUGGCAUCAUCACCAUCCACACGCUGGUUGUAUUCCGGCGAACCUAGGGUUCUGCUGUGACUUCCGACGGUGGUGGAUAGGGUCAAAUCAACCACCAAAACCGGCGGCGACUAGGGUUUCGUGGUGUAAGGGGUUGCUGAUGAGAUUCAAAUCCCACUCAGGGAGAUUUUUGUUGAGUAUCUUGAGAGGUAUUGGACACCUCUUCUUCAUCACCAAACGCAUGCUAAAAGCACCAAGAAGAUUGUGCUGAGGUUGCAAGCAUGUGUCCCGGCAUCCAAUUAAGAUGCAAACAUUUUGACAUUGGUGGAGACAAAGGCCAAUGGAACUAAACAAAAAAGAUGCAAACAUUUUGGCAUUGGUGCAGAGAUGCAAACUUUUUGACAUUUGUAUACGUCGUAUGUGUUAAUUCGUCGAAUAACUUGAUUGAUUAGGAAAAUGUAUUUUGCGCAACUUAUGUAACUAACAUGCUUGGUGUUAACAUCCUAAGUUGCGACCAUAAUACAUAUACAAAUCUAGGCAUAAACUCUUGGUUUAACGGAAAUAUAAAUCUAGCCCCCGCCGCAUCGCGGCAGGUUACUUUUCUAGUUGAGUUCUAUUUGGUAGGGGUUCAUUUUCCCAGACAACUAUAGCAUUAAAUGAUUAUUUAUUUUUCUGAUCACUUGCUUCAGAACCAAGCAACUGUAUUCAUGAACAGAAAAUAAUCAAAAGCAAUAAAAUGCUCAGAAAAUAAUUAUAAUCAUGAGCAAAAAGUGGUGAAAUUACAAGUUUAACUAGUAUUAAGGGGUCCCGCGUUACGGCGGAGGCAUAGACCGUGCCAAGUAGCAUUAAUGCUACACAACUACAAGCGACCAACA
This 1048-nucleotide long non-coding RNA is filed under the name Helianthus annuus (common sunflower). Its description in RNAcentral is "sRNA HanXRQr2_Chr17g0781071". The record is from RNAcentral. Lineage: Eukaryota; Viridiplantae; Streptophyta; Magnoliopsida; Asterales; Asteraceae.